UCCUAUAUCUAAAAAGCAUUAUUGCUACCUGGUUGAGCUCCAGUUCCGCUUCCUGGGUGAUUGGUACCAUCCUCCGCAUCGUGUAUGGACUGGGGCUCUUCCUCCUGUUCUUUCCCUGCCCCAAAAGGAAUUUGCCCUUACAACUAACUUACAAAAGGAGAAACGCCAGGAAGGUAAGUGAUCCUGGACCGAGACCCACCAAAAGGUGAGUCUCUCUUCAUUUUUACUGUGAUUUCCACUUCUCUGAAUCAACUAGAGGGACUCCAGGGAUGGGAAAGAAUAGAACAUCAUCCUUCUAGAGACAAGCCAGGUUGGGUGGGCAGGGGUGAGAGUGGGCACAAGGAUUUCGAUCCAAAGAUCUCUGAGCAGGAGUCCCGGUGUGGUAGAGGGCUCCAGGGAAAGUCCCCAGGCCAGUGACCAGUGGCCAUGGACGGGAUGCUGAGUGGGAUCUGUGGGAAGACAGGCCCUGAGCACUGGUUCCCCAGCCACCUUCCCGGGGCAGGUGUCUCAGGCGGGCCUGUUCUCUGUCGUGGUUGAUCUGAGGGCAGAGCUGAGCCCCAGAGAGCCUCUGGGCAGGACCUGGAGUGGGGCUUUAGCCUCAGGAAGCAAAGUCCUCCCUGAGGAAGCUCACAAGAUUCUGUACAUCUGAGAAUGUGUGCGUUUCUUGAGCAGAGGAACAGUGACAGAAGAUGCAUGCUGGUCCCACAUGGGGACCUUCUUAUGAUCCUCAAAGAAGGAAGACAGCAAAUGUCCAUUGUGUGUUCAAUUAUCCACUUCAAAAGUAAGUUAAAGGGAAGAAACACCCCAGAGCCCCAGGAGUUCAGUGUGGACAGUCAUCUUGCUCACAAACGCUGUGCGUCUGCAGCUGGUCCAGAGAGAGGAGAGGGAGCCUUGGGGCUCAGCCCCCACAGUUUCUUGUUUUUUCUCUCAUUUCAGCAUCAAGUGGAGCCGAGAGGGAGGAGCAGCAGGAGCAGGAAGAAAAGGGGAGCUUUGAAAGCUUACAGAGCUGGCCGGAAGGACCUGGCAGAAGUGGGGGGCCUGAUGUCCCUUUUGCAAAGCUCCCCGGGGAGGCUGUCUUGUAAGGGAUGCUUCCAUCGCUUGUCAUCUCAAGACUCCCCUGGGGAGGCGUGCAAGACAUCGUCUGCUAGAGUCCGCCUUCCAUGCGGGAAGCCUGUGGAAGGUGCUCCUCUCACCACGACUCCAGCACUUUCCCUGGCUCUUCUGACCCAGCACACUCUACCUUUGGCCUCCACUCUGCCAGCAGAACCUCCAUCGGCCUUGACCAGAACUCCCCUAGGCCCUGUUGCCACGAACUCAGCUCCAGUUCACUCCUGUUGGCCGUUUCCCAACUCAGGCCACGGCCGCAUGAGCUGUCGCAUUGAGUUCCUCUCCCGGUGGAACAUAAUCAAGGUCUUGUUCUUCCCCAGGUCAUCACACUUCAAGUCCCAGCAAGGGCACCUGUCCUGCCACCGACCAGUGGCCUCAUUCUGGGGAGGCCCCACAAAUAGGGAGGGAGAGACUGAUAGCCCCUCAGUUGCCAACCCUGAUGUCUGGAAGCUGCUCGAGACAGAAAUCACGGAAAGAAUACAAACGGAGGUCUGGGAAAAAGAAGAACAAGAUGAUCCAGGCACUCCUCAGAUGCUUGAAGCACACGGUAUCAUGUCUGGGCUGAAUUUCCGCUGGGGCCUACCCCUCCUGUCCUUGGGGCCUGCAGAUCUGAAAGCAUGUGAGGCUCAACCCUCGGUCCUUCCAUGGCCCCCUUUGCCCCCCGCAGCCACCUGUGAUUCUGGGGCCCCCUCGAAAGCUGAUUUUGCACACUUCAUUGGAAAACCUCUUGAGACUCCUCCGGGUGACAAAGUCUUAACUUUGACAACAAAAGCAUCAGUUCCCAGCCUGGCCCCUCCCCUCCCUGCUCCCUCACCUGUGUGUGAGGAAAAUCAGAAGGCCCUGGGAGGGACCCUACCUGGCGAUGGCAGUGGGCCCUCAGAAGCCUCUCUCUUUGGACAGAAGGGCCGGCCGCCUUCUCCAACCUUCCCAUUCAGCCUCUCAGAGAGAAAAGGGCAGAGUGGGACCUUCGUGGGGGCUGAGCAAGGCCAUCUAGAGCUGAGUUCAGGGUCCCCAGUGGCCAGGAAUGAGCCUCAGGAGGAGAGGAGGGGUGGAGCCUCACCAGAGCCCUGCCGUGGGGUGGCAACACUGGAGGGGGAGUCAGGGUCCCAGUCUUGGAGCCAGGUCGGGGUAAUAGGAGACACCCUCGGGACCAAACCCCUCAAGCCCCUGCCUGAAAAGGAAGAGGUUUUUCACGAAAGCCCUUUCAGAAAAAUGUUGAGAUGCCUCCUGCCCUGCCUGAGGCCCAACAAGGAGGAAGCACCAGAGGAUCCCCUUGCAAAGGCAAGCCGGAGUCAGCCACCACCCAGAGCCAGGCAAGGGUCACACACAGCUCGGCGUCGGAUGGCAGGGCUGUUCAGGCGCCAUCGACAGUGACAUCCUUUGUCUGCGUCCUGGGAGAGAAACUGAGGCUUGCCGAGAACUUCUGGCCUCCCAGUCGAAGCAUCAUAAAAACCAUUUCAGGCCUGGGAAGCUGGACAUACCUGUUACCACGACGUUCCCUCCUCUCCAGACCAGAGAAGAACAAUGACAGAGGACAGUCCCCAACCUACCUCCAGGGACCACAACUGUCCAACUAUGAGUGAAUGGAUCAGAACAGGCAUGGCAACUGGACCUUGCCAUCCAGGCAGCUGCGGUCCCCAGCCAAACCCUGCCAGCCUGGGCUGAGGGUGGCAGCUGCCUCAGCCAAUCCAUUACCCGCCAUGCUGUCCUCAGAUAUGUGUCUCCUGGGAUGAGUAGACUGUGCCUGACACACCUUUCCUCAUAGGAACGCUUAUCUCCCCAAACGGGGAAGUGGAGGAACAGAAAACCUGGUUUUUCUCCUUAUCCCACCCUCUGUACUAAUGGUGUCUUCCUACCCCAAUUUUCCCCAAAUACACUUUUUUUCUCCUUAGAGGUCAUGACUUCUGUCUGUGCCCUGCUAGUGGUAAAAACAGGGUCAGGCUCCGCCCUUCCUGAGUGUCUGCUUUGGCUUCCAGAAGGGUCAGGGCCAUGGGGGGAGGCUGACUGCAGCGUGGCUCACCUGCCCUCACUCCAACUCCCCCACUGCACCUGAAGUCCCCAUCACACCGUCCUUACAAAAACAAACGGAAGCUUUGGGCUGUUUCCAGAUGAGCAAAACCUCUAAGACCCCAGCCCAGGAUGGGCCCCGCCUGUCCUCUCCUGCGUUCUCUGGCCCUGGAACUUGUGGGGCUGUAGGGAGGGGGUUUGCAGAGGCUCCAGGAAGUGUAGAGACAGG
This 3343-nucleotide long non-coding RNA is filed under the name Equus caballus (horse). RNAcentral describes it as "lncRNA (ENSECAG00000036337.3)". The record is from RNAcentral. Lineage: Eukaryota; Metazoa; Chordata; Mammalia; Perissodactyla; Equidae.